This 255-nucleotide ribosomal RNA is filed under the name Campylobacter ureolyticus. RNAcentral's name for it is "partial 16S ribosomal RNA". It matches the Rfam family "Bacterial small subunit ribosomal RNA", at positions 1113 to 1369 of the family's 1533-position model. The record is from RNAcentral. Lineage: Bacteria; Pseudomonadati; Campylobacterota; Epsilonproteobacteria; Campylobacterales; Campylobacteraceae.
AGUUGCUAACAGCUCGGCUGAGCACUCUAAACAGACUGCCUUCGUAAGGAGGAGGAAGGUGUGGACGACGUCAAGUCAUCAUGGCCCUUAUGUCCAGGGCGACACACGUGCUACAAUGACAUAUACAAUAAGACGCAAUAUCGCAAGAUGGAGCAAAUCUAUAAAAUAUGUCCCAGUUCGGAUUGGGGUCUGCAACUCGACCCCAUGAAGCCGGAAUCGCUAGUAAUCGUAGAUCAGCCAUGCUACGGUGAAUAC